UUUUUUGAGAGUUUGAUCCUGGCUCAGGAUGAACGCUGGCGGUGUGCUUUAGGCAUGCAAGUCGAACGCUUCCGCAAGGAAGAGUGGCAGACGGGUGAGUAACACGUAGGAAUCUACCCAGUAGCGGGGAAUAGCUCGCCGAAAGGCGAGGUAAUACCGCAUACGCCCUCAGGGGGAAAGUCGCAAGACACUAUUGGAGGAGCCUGCGAACUAUCAGUUAGUUGGUGAGGUAAUGGCUUACCAAGACUACGACGGUUAGCCGAUGUGAGAGCAUGAUCGGCCACAAGGUUACUGAGACACGGAACCUACACCUACGGGUGGCAGCAACCGGGAAUUUUGCGCAAUGGGCGAAAGCCUGACGCAGCGACACCGCGUGUGGGAUGAAAUACUUCGGUAUGUAAACCACUGUGGCGAGGGAGGAAUUUUGACAGUACCUCGCUAGAAAGCACCAGCUAACUACGUGCCAGAAGCUUCGGUAAUACGUAGGGUGCAAGCGUUAUCCGGAUUUACUGGGUGUAAAGGGUCAGUCGGCGUUUUUGUAUGUUUCUUGUCUAAGCCUGGGGCUCAACUCCAGAAUGGCAAGAAAAACUGCAAGAAUAGAGUCUGUUCGAGGAAACUGGAAUUCUUGGUGGAGGGGUGAAAUCCGUAGAUAUCAAGAGGAACGCCGCGCGUGAAGACAGGUUUCUAGGACAGUACUGACGCUCAAUGACGAAAGCUUGGGGAGCAAAAGGGAUUAGAGACCCCUGUAGUCCAAGCCGUAAACAAUCCUUGCUAGCUGUCCUCACUUCGAGUGGGGGUGGCGUAAGCUAACGCGUUAAGCAAGGCACCUGGGGACUACGACCGCAAGGUUAAAACUCAAAGGAAUUGACGGGGGAGCGCACAACCGGUGGAGCAUGUGGUUUAAUUCGAUACAAAGCGAAAAACCUCACCCAGAAUUGACAUGUACCUGCACGUCUUUGGAAACAAGGACUUCUUCGAGAGUGGUACACAGGUGAUGCAUGGCUGUCGUCAGCUCGUGUCGUGAGACGUCCACUUAAGUGUGGUAACGAGCGCAACCCUUAUCGUAUGUUACAAGUGUCAUACGAGACUGCCCUUCAUCUUUGAAGGGAGGAAGGAGAGGAUGACGUCAAGUCAGCACGUCCCUUACGUCUGGGGCUACACACAUCCUACAAUGGAGCCGACAACAGGUCGCGACGGGGUAACCCUGAGCCAAUCCUUAUAAACGGCUCCUCAGUUCAGAUUGUGGGCUGAAAUCCGCCCACAUGAAGCCGGAAUCGGUAGUAAUCGCAAAUCAGCAGGUUGCGGUGAAUACGUUCUCGCUCCUUGUACACACUGCCCGUCAAGCCAGCAAAGUCAGCAACGCCCGAAGCGGGUGACCGUAACCCUCACGGGAGCGGCCUCACUACGGCGAGGUUGGCGAUGAGGACUAAGUCGUAACAAGGUAUCCGUACUGGAAGGUGCGGAUGGAUCACCUCCUUU
This 1479-nucleotide ribosomal RNA is filed under the name Candidatus Woesebacteria bacterium. Its description in RNAcentral is "bacterial SSU rRNA". It matches the Rfam family "Bacterial small subunit ribosomal RNA". The record is from RNAcentral. Lineage: Bacteria; Candidatus Woeseibacteriota.